Molecule: ribosomal RNA, 922 nt
Filed under: uncultured archaeon
Lineage: Archaea
Description: bacterial SSU rRNA
Rfam family: Archaeal small subunit ribosomal RNA
Source: RNAcentral
UCUGGUUGAUCCUGCCGGACCCGACUGCUAUCAGAGUGGGACUAAGCCAUGCGAGUCAACGUAGCAAUGCGUGGCGAACGGCUCAGUAACACGUAGUCAACAUGCCCAGGGGACGUGGAUAACCUCGGGAAACUGAGAUUAAACCGCGAUAGGUCAAGAUUUCUGGAAUGGAUCGUGUCUUAAAUCUACAUGGCCCCUGGAUUGGACUGCGGCCGAUCAGGCUGUUGGUGAGGUAAUGGCCCACCAAACCUAUAACCGGUACGGGCUCUGAGAGGAGAAGCCCGGAGAUGGGCACUGAGACAAGGGCCCAGGCCCUAUGGGGCGCAGCAGGCGCGAAACCUCUGCAAUGGGCGAAAGCCUGACAGGGUUACUCUGAGUGAUUUCCGCUAAGGAGAUCUUUUGGCAGCUCUAAAAAUGGUGCAGAAUAAGGGGUGGGCAAGUCUGGUGUCAGCCGCCGCGGUAAUACCAGCACCCCGAGUGGUCGGGACGAUUAUUGGGCCUAAAGCAUCCGUAGCCGGUUGUGCAAGUCCUCCGUUAAAUCCAGCCGCUCAACGGAUGGGCUGCGGAGGAUACUACAGGACUAGGAGGCGGGAGAGGCAAGCGGUACUUAGUGGGUAGGGGUAAAAUCCUUUGAUCCAUUGAAGACCACCAGUGGCGAAGGCGGCUUGCCAGAACGCGCUCGACGGUGAGGGAUGAAAGCUGGGGGAGCAAACCGGAUUAGAUACCCGGGUAGUCCCAGCUGUAAACGAUGCAGACUCGGUGAUGGGCUAGCCUCGUGUCAGCCCAGUGCCGCAGGGAAGCCGUUAAGUCUGCCGCCUGGGGAGUACGGUCGCAAGACUGAAACUUAAAGGAAUUGGCGGGGGAGCACCACAAGGGGUGAAGCCUGCAGUUUCAUUGGACUNCACGCCGGGGACUCUAGAGA